This is a long non-coding RNA of Homarus americanus (American lobster), 387 nucleotides long. RefSeq lists it as uncharacterized. Lineage: Eukaryota; Metazoa; Arthropoda; Malacostraca; Decapoda; Nephropidae. The transcript has 3 exons. The record is from RefSeq and is a predicted model, not a curated record.
ACCUGCAGCACUCUUCACCAUCACAAUUUUACUUUAAUUUUCACCAAUCUAACUCGGACGUGCUUAAAAGCUAGUCCCACAUGAACCAGUGUGCGUUGUUCAUGAUGCGCAGUAACAAGGUCAGGAGAGGAAGGUGAGGAGUUGCCCGUGACCGGUGUGAGGAUCAACCCACAAUGGCUGCCCUGAUGCGGCAGGGGGUCCACUGGUCCACAAGACUGGUCCACGUCGUACAGAAGACCGGUUCAUGUGGUACAGAAGACUGGUCCACGUGGUACAGAAUGCGUGUCGUCAGGGCGUCCUCUACCAUAAGGUCAAGGUGAUCCUCGACGCACAGGCUACGGGAAGGUGUGUGUGGUGACGGCUUCCUCGCCCCACAGUAAAAGGUGA